Molecule: ribosomal RNA, 538 nt
Filed under: uncultured archaeon
Lineage: Archaea
Description: bacterial SSU rRNA
Rfam family: Archaeal small subunit ribosomal RNA
Source: RNAcentral
GCCAGCAGCCGCGGUAACACGGCAGCUCUAGUGGUAGCUGUUUUAUUGGGCCUAAAGCGUUCGUAGCCGGUUUGAUAAGUCACUGGUGAAAUCCUGUAGCUUAACUGUGGGAAUUGCUGGUGAUACUGUUGAACUUGAGGUCGGGAGAGGUUAGCGGUAUCCCAGGGUAGAGGUGAAAUUCUGUAAUCCUGGGAGGACCACCUGUGGCGAAGGCGGCUAACUGGAACGAACCUGACGGUGAGGGACGAAAGCUAGGGGCGCGAACCGGAUUAGAUACCCGGGUAGUCCUAGCCGUAAACGAUGCGGACUUGGUGUUGGGAUGGCUUUGAGCCGCUCCGGUGCCGAAGGGAAGCUGUUAAGUCCGCCGCCUGGGAAGUACGGUCGCAAGACUGAAACUUAAAGGAAUUGGCGGGGGAGCACCACAACGCGUGGAGCCUGCGGUUUAAUUGGAUUCAACGCCGGACAUCUCACUAGGAGCGACAGCUGUAUGAUUACCAGGCUGAUGACCUUGUUUGACUAGCUGAGAAGUGGUGCAUGG